Molecule: ribosomal RNA, 253 nt
Filed under: uncultured bacterium
Lineage: Bacteria
Description: partial 16S ribosomal RNA
Rfam family: Bacterial small subunit ribosomal RNA
Source: RNAcentral
UACGAAGGGGGCUAGCGUUGUUCGGAAUUACUGGGCGUAAAGCGCGUGUAGGCGGGUCUUUAAGUCAGGGGUGAAAUGCCAAGGCUCAACCUUGGAAAUGCCUUUGAUACUGGAGAUCUUGAGUCCGGGAGAGGUGAGUGGAAUUGCGAGUGUAGAGGUGAAAUUCGUAGAUAUUCGGAAGAACCCCAGUGGCGAAGGCGACUGACUGGACAAGUAUUGACGCUGAGGUGCGAAAGCGUGGGGAGCAAACAGG